AGAGUUUGAUCCUGGCUCAGAUUGAACGCUGGCGGCAGGCCUAACACAUGCAAGUCGAGCGGUAACAGAAAGUAGCUUGCUUCUUUGCUGACGGGCGGCGGACGGGUGAGUAAUGCUUGGGAACAUGCCUUGAGGUGGGGGACAACAGUUGGAAACGACUGCUAAUACCGCAUAAUGUCUACGGACCAAAGGGGGCUUCGGCUCUCGCCUUUAGAUUGGCCCAAGUUGGAUUAGCUAGUUGGUGAGGUAAUGGCUCACCAAGGCGACGAUCCCUAGCUGGUUUGAGAGGAUGAUCAGCCACACUGGGACUGAGACACGGCCCAGACUCCUACGGGAGGCAGCAGUGGGGAAUAUUGCACAAUGGGCGCAAGCCUGAUGCAGCCAUGCCGCGUGUGUGAAGAAGGCCUUCGGGUUGUAAAGCACUUUCAGUCAGGAGGGUAGGUUAGUAGUUAAUACCUGCUAGCUGUGACGUUACUGACAGAAGAAGCACCGGCUAACUCCGUGCCAGCAGCCGCGGUAAUACGGAGGGUGCGAGCGUUAAUCGGAAUUACUGGGCGUAACGCGUACGCAGGCGGUUUGUUAAGCGAGAUGUGAAAGCCCCGGGCUCAACCUGGGAACUGCAUUUCGAACUGGCAAACUAGAGUGUGAUAGAGGGUGGUAGAUUUUCAGGUGUAGCGGUGAAAUGCGUAGAGAUCUGAAGGAAUACCGAUGGCGAAGGCAGCCACCUGGGUCAACACUGACGCUCAUGUACGCAAGCGUGGGGAGCAAACGGGAUUAGAUACCCCGGUAGUCCACGCCGUAAACGAUGUCUACUAGAAGCUCGGAGCCUCGGUUCUGUUUUUCAAAGCUAACGCAUUAAGUAGACCGCCUGGGGAGUACGGCCGCAAGGUUAAAACUCAAAUGAAUUGACGGGGGCCCGCACAAGCGGUGGAGCAUGUGGUUUUAUUCGAUGCAACGCGAAGACCCUUACCUACACUUGACAUACAGAGAACUUACCAGAGAUGGUUUGGUGCCUUCGGGAACUCUGAUACAGGUGCUGCAUGGCUG
Molecule: ribosomal RNA, 1047 nt
Filed under: Pseudoalteromonas sp. P15
Lineage: Bacteria; Pseudomonadati; Pseudomonadota; Gammaproteobacteria; Alteromonadales; Pseudoalteromonadaceae
Description: bacterial SSU rRNA
Rfam family: Bacterial small subunit ribosomal RNA
Source: RNAcentral